UACGUAGGGUGCGAGCGUUGUCCGGAAUUAUUGGGCGUAAAGGGCUUGUAGGCGGUUUGUCGAGUCUGCUGUGAAAAUCCGGGGCUCAACCCCGGACGUGCAGUGGGUACGGGCAGACUAGAGUGUGGUAGGGGAGACUGGAAUUCCUGGUGUAGCGGUGGAAUGCGCAGAUAUCAGGAGGAACACCGAUGGCGAAGGCAGGUCUCUGGGCCACUACUGACGCUGAGAAGCGAAAGCAUGGGGAGCAAACAGG
Molecule: ribosomal RNA, 253 nt
Filed under: uncultured bacterium
Lineage: Bacteria
Description: partial 16S ribosomal RNA
Rfam family: Bacterial small subunit ribosomal RNA
Source: RNAcentral